UACGGAGGGUGCAAGCGUUAAUCGGAAUUACUGGGCGUAAAGCGCACGCAGGCGGUUUGUUAAGUCAGAUGUGAAAUCCCCGGGCUCAACCUGGGAACUGCAUCUGAUACUGGCAAGCUUGAGUCUCGUAGAGGGGGGUAGAAUUCCAGGUGUAGCGGUGAAAUGCGUAGAGAUCUGGAGGAAUACCGGUGGCGAAGGCGGCCCCCUGGACGAAGACUGACGCUCAGGUGCGAAAGCGUGGGGAGCAAAC
RNAcentral lists this ribosomal RNA (250 nucleotides) under uncultured bacterium. RNAcentral's name for it is "partial 16S ribosomal RNA". It matches the Rfam family "Bacterial small subunit ribosomal RNA", at positions 524 to 773 of the family's 1533-position model. The record is from RNAcentral.